Long non-coding RNA from Phycodurus eques (leafy seadragon), 2454 nucleotides. RefSeq lists it as uncharacterized. The transcript is spliced from 8 exons. NCBI's taxonomy places the organism in Eukaryota, Metazoa, Chordata, Actinopteri, Syngnathiformes, Syngnathidae. The record is from RefSeq and is a predicted model, not a curated record.
GGAACCGGGGACGUGUAUGGCUUUGCUUUGCGCGUUGUUUGUGUAAAAUAUGAUUUCGUGUGUUCCACAAACAAGCGAAGCUAUUUACGUUACGUUAGCGAUAAAUUACGUUUGAUUUUUUCACACGAACAGAGGCGUCCACGAAAACAAAGAAAGCGUAUUGUCUCCACGUCGGCUGCUGUUGGACUCAUCACCUGCACGUCACCACGCCAGCUGUGGAAAAAGUGGCGACAUGUCGUGAACGACAGGAUCGGGGAGGUUUUGAGCAGACACGCAGCCGACAGACGCAAAGUUGUGGGACACGUGGACGGGUCUGCGCUACGAUGAUGAGGACAACCUGCAUUUGGACAGGAUCGGAGGUUUUGAGCGGACACGCAGCCGACAGACGCAAAGUUGUGGGACACGUGGAUGGGUCUGCGCUACGAUGACUAGGACAACCUGCUUUUGGACAGGUGCAGGAUCUUGGGGGGGCCAGGGUGCUUCUCCAUGAUGGCUCUUGUUCUGGAAGCCGCCCUGCACGCAGAGUCAAAAAAACAAACAGCGUGUCAAACCCAGCAAACGUGGCGACAGGCGAGCCUCGUACAUCUUGUUCCUCUCACAGCUCUGCACGACGUCAACAAGAGGCCGUCAAGACUGCACACAAAAAGCAGGAUGUGAGGAGUGGUUGCUGCAAGUCAUCCUCCUUCAGAAGAUUGUCUUUAACGCAGAUGAGCAAGCAGUAGGAAAAUGAGUGGACUGUAAAGUGUGGACACCAGUGCAAACCAAACUUGUCCCCAACCUCUCUGGCUGCUCCACGGUUUGGCUUCAGCACCUUCUGAUGUGGUCUUCCAGCUGAGGAGGGAGAUGAUGCAACAUGCAGAUGUCAAACCCAGCAGACAUGGCGACCGGUCAGCCUCGUUCACCUUGUUCCUCUCGCAGCUCUGGAUGACGUCAGAGGCUGUCAAGACUGCACACAAAAAGCAGGAUGUCAGGACUGGUUGCUGCAAGUCAUCUCAGGUGUCCUUACCCUCCUUCAGAAGAUUGCCUUCACACAGAUGAGCAUGCAGGAGGAAAAUGGCAAACUGAGGCCAAACUGUCUCAAACAAAGACAUCUGUUAAGUUAUUGUCAUGCAGCACAUUUGACAAGAGAUGAAACCCACCAGCAAUGAAGAGGCUGCGACUUGUUGCUGCCUGGGACUUCGUCCAAGUGCUCACAUGGCUGCAUUCACAGGAAGCUGAGCAUGAAGGGAAGAACAUUUGAUCAACAUUGUGACCUGUAUUCACAGAGUGGCCUUCUCAGGCUGCUCCACAGUUUGGCUUCAGAACCUGAUGUGGUCAUCCAGCUGAGGAAGAGGCGACAACAUGCAGAGUAAGAAAAGAGAGAGAUCAACAAUCAACACUUUCGUUGUAAUUUGCAUUAAUUUCUUGCAGAUUAGAAAAGUUGCACUUGAACCCACUGAAGCCGGAAUGACAGUUUCCUUGUUGCUGAUGACAGUCACCAUAGCCAGCGUGACGAGCACGGCGACAGAUGUGUCGUGACGUCCCCGAAGAAACAGAGUCAAACAUUAACCCAAUGAGUUUUGUGAAAUUAUGUUUUUGAGACCAAGUUUUUCCUGCGACAACGAGCACUCACAGGAAGUUGAACAUGUUCCUCAGGCUCGGGAAGAACAAGAACACAGAAAACUGAACACAAGAUGGACAGUCAAACUGCUAAUUAGUGAGUUUAUUUUCAAGUUUUAACAGCAUUGAGGACCACCUGCACAGUCAUGUAGAACUGUUUUCCCCAGCAAGUGCAGGAUCUUGGGGGCCAGGGUGCUUCUCCUCCACGAUGGAGCUUGUUCUGGAAGCCACCCUGCAUGCAGACAUGUCAAACCCAGCGGAUUUGGUGACGGUCAGCCUCGUACACAAUCUUGUUACUCACGCAGCGCUGGAUGAAGUCAAAAGGAUGUCAAGACUGCACACAAAAGCAGAAUGUCAGGAUUGGUUGUUGAAAGUCAUCUCAGGUGUCCUUAACCUCCUUCAGAAGAUUGUCUUUAACGCAGAUGAGCAUGCAGGAGGAAAAUGGCAAACUUAGGCCAGAAUUUCUAAAAAGCAGAAUGCUUUUUAGAAAUUGAGCUGGACACAAUGGGCCGCUUAACAAGAAAGAAAGACACAGUAACACAAUUAGCAACAUGACAUUUGGUAACCAUGUCUAUACAGUAGAGCUGCAACUAAAGUCUCAAAUAUGCUGUAAAAAAUACAAAAAGUCUCUUUGAAGUAGAUAUUUUAGAAUCAAUUUGGCCGUUUGAGAUGGAAGCCUGUGGACAGAAAUUAGACAAUUAUUAAUACACACAUACAUAUAGGUAUAGUUGAUGAACUGUUUAAUUGAGAAUACGGCAACCUACCUCCCACCAAACGGCGCUCUUCUCUAGAUGUUGGAAAGGGUUGGAGCCAAUACUUUCAUGAUCAAGUGCAAUGCAUUUAUUUGUUGCCAUA